RNAcentral lists this ribosomal RNA (467 nucleotides) under uncultured Planctomycetota bacterium. RNAcentral describes it as "bacterial SSU rRNA". It matches the Rfam family "Bacterial small subunit ribosomal RNA", at positions 372 to 829 of the family's 1533-position model. The record is from RNAcentral. Lineage: Bacteria; Pseudomonadati; Planctomycetota.
UGCCCGAAAGGGUGACGAAGCGACGCCGCGUGGGUGAGGAAGGCCUUCGGGUUGUAAAGCCCUGUCAGGAGUUAAGAAAUGUAGACUCGCUAAUAUCGGGUCUAUUUGACAAAGGCUCCAAAGGAAGCCACGGCUAACUCUGUGCCAGCAGCCGCGGUAAUACAGAGGUGGCAAGCGUUGUUCGGAAUUAUUGGGCGUAAAGAGCACGUAGGUGGAUUUGUAAGUCAGACGUGAAAGCCUUCUGUUCAACGGAAGAAUUGCAUCUGAAACUACAAGCCUUGAGUGUAGGAGGGGAGAAUGGAACUUCUGGUGGAGCGGUGAAAUGCGUAGAUAUCAGAAGGAACGCCGGCGGCGAAAGCGAUUCUCUGGCCUAUUACUGACACUCAGUGUGCGAAAGCUAGGGGAGCAAACGGGAUUAGAUACCCCGGUAGUCCUAGCCGUAAACGAUGGGCACUAAGUAGAGGGGU